UACACAAAAUGUAGCUCUGAGCUGGGCAGC
Molecule: non-coding RNA, 30 nt
Filed under: Macaca fascicularis (crab-eating macaque)
Lineage: Eukaryota; Metazoa; Chordata; Mammalia; Primates; Cercopithecidae
Also listed under: 1 other name
Source: RNAcentral